UACGAAGGGGGCUAGCGUUGCUCGGAAUCACUGGGCGUAAAGCGCACGUAGGCGGAUUGCUAAGUCAGGGGUGAAAUCCUGGAGCUCAACUCCAGAACUGCCCUUGAUACUGGCGGUCUCGAGUCCGGGAGAGGUGAGUGGAACUGCGAGUGUAGAGGUGAAAUUCGUAGAUAUUCGCAAGAACACCAGUGGCGAAGGCGGCUCACUGGCCCGGUACUGAUGCUGAGGUGCGAAAGCGUGGGGAGCAAGCAGG
This 253-nucleotide ribosomal RNA is filed under the name uncultured bacterium. RNAcentral describes it as "partial 16S ribosomal RNA". It matches the Rfam family "Bacterial small subunit ribosomal RNA", at positions 524 to 776 of the family's 1533-position model. The record is from RNAcentral.